GACGAACGCUGGCGGCGUGCUUAACACAUGCAAGUCGAACGGUGAAGCGAGUGCUUUCUCUCGUGGAUCAGUGGCGAACGGGUGAGUAACACGUGAGUAACCUGCCCAUCACUCUGGGAUAAGCUCUGGAAACGGUGUCUAAUACUGGAUACGACCACCCCUUGCAUGGUGUGUUGGUGGAAGGAUUUAUCGGUGAUGGAUGGACUCGCGGCCUAUCAGCUUGUUGGCGGGGUAAUGGUCCACCAAGGCGACGACGGGUAGCCGGCCUGAGAGGGUGACCGGCCACACUGGGACUGAGACACGGCCCAGACUCCUACGGGAGGCAGCAGUGGGGAAUAUUGCACAAUGGGCGAAAGCCUGAUGCAGCGACGCCGCGUGAGGGAUGACGGCCGUCGGGUUGUAAACCGCUUUCACCAGGGAAGAAGCGAGAGUGACGGUACCUGGAGAAGAAGCACCGGCUAACUACGUG
This 469-nucleotide ribosomal RNA is filed under the name uncultured bacterium. RNAcentral's name for it is "partial 16S ribosomal RNA". It matches the Rfam family "Bacterial small subunit ribosomal RNA", at positions 28 to 507 of the family's 1533-position model. The record is from RNAcentral.